UGAAUUAGAACUUGAGACUGAGAGGAAUAAUCUGCAAAUAACAAUUUGCCUUUUAAGUUGGCCUGACGUGGUCUAUUUUUUCGAAAAAGAUAAAGAUAAAACAAAGCACUCACAUUUUGAAGCUUUUACGAGCCAACGGAAUUUCCACUUCCGACCGGAAAACGAAGAUCUACUUAGCUUGCUCGAAUCAAUGGAUUCAGAUGAGGGGGCUAGAGCAGUGGAGAGUUCUUCCUCACAGGCACUGGUUUUAUAUGAAGCAGAUUCCAUUUUGGAACCUUAUGAGGGUAUGGAAUUUGAAUCUGAAGAUGCCGCCAAGAUAUUUUAUGAUGAGUAUGCACGACGAGUUGGAUUUGUCAUGCGUGUGAUGUCAUGCCGUCGAUCCGAGAGAGAUGGUAGGAUUCUUGCCCGUCGACUUGGGUGUAAUAAGGAAGGCCACUGUGUUAGUAUUCGAGGUAAAUUUGGGCCAGUUCGAAAACCACGAGCGAGUACAAGGGAAGGUUGUAAGGCAAUGAUUCAUGUGAAGUAUGAUAAAUCCAGUAAAUGGGUGAUUACCAAAUUCAUAAAGGAUCAUAAUCAUCCACUUGUGGUGUCCCCACGUGAAGCUCGUCAAACAAUGGAUGAGAAGGAUAAGAAAAUUCAAGAAUUAACUGCAGAGCUUCGGAAUAAGAAACGGUUGUGCACAACAUAUCAGGAACAGCUAACAGCAUUUACGAAAAUUGUUGAAGAGUAUAGUGACCAGCUAUCGAAAAAAGUUCAAAAUGUUGUAAGCAAUCUUAAAGAAUUUGAGUCCAUAGAUCGGGAGCUUUCGCAACAUAGAUAGCCUCUGCAUUGAGAUUUCCAAAACUCUCCAAUGAGGACAAUUAAUGGCUGGGCCCAUGAGGCUGCCCUUGUAAUUGCCUAUGUUGCACGGAUACAAUACAAGAUAUGCGAUAUGAUACGACAAGUCUACAAAAACUAGGAUAUGUAUAUGUGCAGGCUGCAGCCAUAGGAAGAAUUAGUGACAGAAAUCCAAGAUGACUUUGAUUAUGUAGACAUGGAAGCUCUGAUGGAGCUAUUUUAUGUGGUGAUCCAUCCAGGUUCAUAGAGCUAUGCACUUUAGUCAUUCUGCGUAGCAACUUGAAAGCAUUUCCAGGGUCUAUGAGCAUGUUCUAAAUGGUGAUAGGUAAUAUCAUAGGGUAUUAAGCAGUGCCUAAUUGCCUUACACGGGGCACAGAUAUCUAGACAUGGCAGAUAAAUAGUAUCCAUUUUGUAGGAGGAAUAUGCUUGCAUUUUAUAAUUGUGUAAACAAAUUCGCCAGUACAUAUAAUCGAUACCAGCAGGGAUGUGUUUACUUCU
RNA transcript from Prunus dulcis (almond), 1335 nucleotides. It is a transcript of the gene named protein FAR1-RELATED SEQUENCE 5-like, with no coding region annotated. The record is from RefSeq and is a predicted model, not a curated record. The transcript is spliced from 5 exons. Lineage: Eukaryota; Viridiplantae; Streptophyta; Magnoliopsida; Rosales; Rosaceae.